UUGAACGCUGGCGGCAGGCCUAACACAUGCAAGUCGAGCGCGAAAGUUCUUCGGAAUGAGUAAAGCGGCGGACGGGUGAGUAACGCGUGGGAAUCUGCCUAGUAGCGGGGGACAACAGCCGGAAACGGCUGCUAAUACCGCAUACGCCCUACGGGGGAAAGGAGGGGAUCUUCGGACCUCUCGCUAUUAGAUGAGCCCGCGUCGGAUUAGCUAGUUGGUAGGGUAAAGGCCUACCAAGGCUACGAUCCGUAACUGGUCUGAGAGGAUGAUCAGUCACACUGGAACUGAGACACGGUCCAGACUCCUACGGGAGGCAGCAGUGGGGAAUAUUGGACAAUGGGGGCAACCCUGAUCCAGCCAUGCCGCGUGUGUGAAGAAGGCCUUAGGGUUGUAAAGCACUUUCAGUGGGGAGAAAGGUUUGUCACCUAAUACGUGAUGAAAUUGAUGUUACCCACAGAAGAAGCACCGGCUAACUCCGUGCCAGCCGCCGCGGUAA
This 496-nucleotide ribosomal RNA is filed under the name uncultured bacterium. RNAcentral describes it as "partial 16S ribosomal RNA". It matches the Rfam family "Bacterial small subunit ribosomal RNA", at positions 30 to 523 of the family's 1533-position model. The record is from RNAcentral.